This 239-nucleotide ribosomal RNA is filed under the name uncultured bacterium. RNAcentral's name for it is "partial 16S ribosomal RNA". It matches the Rfam family "Bacterial small subunit ribosomal RNA", at positions 15 to 245 of the family's 1533-position model. The record is from RNAcentral.
GAUCAUGGCUCAGGAUGAACGCUAGCUACAGGCUUAACACAUGCAAGUCGAGGGGCAGCAUGAACUUAGCUUGCUAAGUUUGAUGGCGACCGGCGCACGGGUGAGUAACACGUAUCCAACCUGCCGAUGACUCGGGGAUAGCCUCUCGAAAGAAAGAUUAAUACCCGAUGGCAUAGUUCUUCCGCAUGGUAGAACUAUUAAAGAAUUUCGGUCAUCGAUGGGGAUUCGUUCCAUUUAGG